This 451-nucleotide ribosomal RNA is filed under the name Lachnospiraceae bacterium oral taxon F64. Its description in RNAcentral is "bacterial SSU rRNA". It matches the Rfam family "Bacterial small subunit ribosomal RNA", at positions 28 to 479 of the family's 1533-position model. Lineage: Bacteria; Bacillati; Bacillota; Clostridia; Lachnospirales; Lachnospiraceae. The record is from RNAcentral.
GAUGAACGCUGGCGGCGUGCUUAACACAUGCAAGUCGAGCGAAGCACAUAGAUGGAAUUCUUCGGAAGGAAGCCCAUGUGACUGAGCGGCGGACGGGUGAGUAACGCGUGGGGAACCUGCCCUGUACCGGGGGAUAACAGUUAGAAAUGGCUGCUAAUACCGCAUAAGCGCACAGCAAGGCAUCUUGCCGUGUGAAAAACUCCGGUGGUACAGGAUGGACCCGCGUUGGAUUAGCCAGUUGGCGGGGUAACGGCCCACCAAAGCGACGAUCCAUAGCCGGCCUGAGAGGGCGACUGGCCACAUUGGGGCUGAGACACGGCCCAAACUCCUACGGGAGGCAGCAGUGGGGAAUAUUGCACAAUGGGGGAAACCCUGAUGCAGCGACGCCGCGUGAACGAAGAAGUACCUCGGUAUGUAAAGUUCUAUCAGCAGGGAAGAAAAUGACGGUACC